RNAcentral lists this ribosomal RNA (467 nucleotides) under uncultured bacterium. RNAcentral describes it as "partial 16S ribosomal RNA". It matches the Rfam family "Bacterial small subunit ribosomal RNA", at positions 28 to 506 of the family's 1533-position model. The record is from RNAcentral.
GACGAACGCUGGCGGCGUGCUUAACACAUGCAAGUCGAACGGAAAGGCCCUGCUUCUGUGGGGUGCUCGAGUGGCGAACGGGUGAGUAACACGUGAGUAACCUGCCCUUGACUUUGGGAUAACUUCAGGAAACUGGGGCUAAUACCGGAUAGGAGCUCCUGCUGCAUGGUGGGGGUUGGAAAGUUUCGGCGGUUGGGGAUGGACUCGCGGCUUAUCAGCUUGUUGGUGGGGUAGUGGCUUACCAAGGCUUUGACGGGUAGCCGGCCUGAGAGGGUGACCGGCCACAUUGGGACUGAGAUACGGCCCAGACUCCUACGGGAGGCAGCAGUGGGGAAUAUUGCACAAUGGGCGGAAGCCUGAUGCAGCAACGCCGCGUGCGGGAUGACGGCCUUCGGGUUGUAAACCGCUUUCGCCUGUGACGAAGCGUGAGUGACGGUAAUGGGGAAAGAAGCACCGGCUAACUACGU